This 109-nucleotide ribosomal RNA is filed under the name uncultured bacterium. RNAcentral's name for it is "partial 16S ribosomal RNA". It matches the Rfam family "Bacterial small subunit ribosomal RNA", at positions 355 to 462 of the family's 1533-position model. The record is from RNAcentral.
UGAGGAAUAUUGGUCAAUGGGCGCAAGCCUGAACCAGCCAUGCCGCGUGAAGGAUGACGGCGCUACGCGUUGUAAACUUCUUUUGUGCAGGAAGAAACACUUCUACGUG